AANGAAGGCUCUUGGGGUUGUAAACCUCUUUUCUCAAGGAAGAAUAUUGACGGUACUUGAGGAAUCAGCAUCGGCUAACUCCGUGCCAGCAGCCGCGGUAAUACGGAGGAUGCAAGCGUUAUCCGGAAUGAUUGGGCGUAAAGCGUCCGUAGGUGGCUGUGUGUGUCUAUUGUUAAAGAGUUUGGCUCAACCAAAUAAGGGCGGUAGAAACUACACAGCUAGAGUGCGUUCGGGGCAGAGGGAAUUCCUGGUGUAGCGGUGAAAUGCGUAGAGAUCAGGAAGAACACCGGUGGCGAAAGCGCUCUGCUAGGCCGCAACUGACACUGAGGGACGAAAGCUAGGGGAGCGAAAGGGAUUAGAUACCCCUGUAGUC
RNAcentral lists this ribosomal RNA (373 nucleotides) under Nostochopsis lobata HKAR-21. RNAcentral describes it as "bacterial SSU rRNA". It matches the Rfam family "Bacterial small subunit ribosomal RNA", at positions 407 to 795 of the family's 1533-position model. Lineage: Bacteria; Bacillati; Cyanobacteriota; Cyanophyceae; Nostocales; Hapalosiphonaceae. The record is from RNAcentral.